Long non-coding RNA from Rhipicephalus sanguineus (brown dog tick), 246 nucleotides. RefSeq lists it as uncharacterized. The record is from RefSeq and is a predicted model, not a curated record. Lineage: Eukaryota; Metazoa; Arthropoda; Arachnida; Ixodida; Ixodidae. The transcript has 3 exons.
UUCAUGUGCAGGAAGCACUUCUACGCCCUCAACGUUAUGAUCAUCUGCGAUGCGGCGAUGCGGAUCCUGGCCAUCGACCCUAUGCGACCGGGGUCAGACCAUGACUCGUUCGUCUGGCAGACGACCUGGCUGCGCCGACGGUUCCUGGCGGGGCGCAUUGCAGAGCCAGGCGAAUACCUGCUUGGUGACAGUGGCUACCCAUUGGAGCCGUGGCUCCUCAUCCCGGUCUCUGGCGAUCCUUCCGAC